AGAGAAAAGUGACAUUUUGUCUAUAUUUUAGGGAAUCUGUUAAGGUAAUUUGCUACAGGUGCUCUUAGUAGAACUCAAUCCAUUAUAGUUUAAUGGUUAAAUAGAAAACAAAAACAUGUUAUCUUCAAAAUGUCAUAUUCAUUGACAUGUCAUUUCAACAUAAUGUCUUGCUUUUAUUUCAUUCUUUUUAGUGUGUUCUUUUUAUUGUGUUCUUUUUAAAUAUUUUUCAAUAAAUGAUGUUGUUUUUAUUAUUGAUUCUUAAGUGUGAGCGAGAUCUUGAACCUUACUCCUUUUUGAAAUCCUCAAGAAUUUCAAUCAAUAUAUGUUGACCAACCUAUUUUAAUUUAAACAUAUUAUAAUUUAUUUAUUUUUGAUAUAGGUUUCAAACAUCAUAUAUGUUGAUCAACCUAUCGGAACAGGUUUUAGUUUCACUUCUAACAAAAAUGAUAUAAGAAGCGAUCAAAUUGGUAUAAGCAAUGAUUUGUAUGAUUUUUUACAGGUUCAAUUUUUUCCUCAUCCUAUCCAUUCUUAAUUCAGUUAAUAAAAUCUUAUAAUUUACAUUUUUUUUACAAUGAUAGGAAUUCUUUAAACUAUAUCCUGAUUUUGUUAGAAAUAAUUUUUUCAUAACUGGACAAUCUUAUGCUGGCCACUAUGCUCCUGCUUUGGCUUCUCGGAUACAGGAAGGAAAUAGAAAAAAGGAGGGAAUUUAUAUAAAUCUUAAGGGAUUCGCUGUUGGUAAUGGACUUACAGAUUUAAAAAUUCAAUACCCUUCAAUACCAGAUUAUGCUUGGUCUGAGAGUCUAAUAACACUCGAGCAGUACAACCAAAUAAAGCAAUUGAAUCCUAUAUGUGAUUCAUAUAUAGAAACUUGUCGUGCGUAUUAUUUUUUACAUCCAAUUAUUUUUUGUUAUUUAUAUUAUUUUUACAUGUUACGACAUCUGGUUUCUGGAGGAGAGAAUCACUUUAUUGAUAUAUUCUGGGCAUUUGUUGAAAUAAUUAAGAGAGUUAAACAAUAAAUGCACUUGAUUGACAAUUUGUGAAUGUUGCUUUUUGUUAGGCACUGGUAACGAUACUGCUUGUUUGAAUGCAUAUACGUUUUGUGAGUCAAUAUUACAAGAAACGCUUAGAACUGGAAAUUUUGAUGUAAGAAAUCCUAAGACAAUCAUCUCUUCAUGUGUGUGUAUGUGUGUUCUUACAAACAUAAUUAUGAAACUUGAACUUGAACUUCCAUGUGUUUGUGAUAUAUAGUCUAAAGACAUUAGAAAGACUCGUGGAGCUAGUGGUGACUACUCAAUGUUGACAUCAUUUAUGAAGAAGCAAUCAGUACAUGAUGCUUUGGGCGUGUCAGAUAGAUUAUUUGUUACGUUGAGUAUGCCUGUAUAUAAUGCAUUAAAGAGGGAUAGGGUAAAAAAUCUUGAAGUGGGUAUUCCAGCUCUACUUCAGAAUGAAAUCAAAGUUCUUAUUUAUGCAGGAGAUAGAGAUCUUGUUUGCAACUGGAUUGGUAAACUUCACAGGAAAAUAUAUGUAUCGUAUUCAUAAUUUAUUUUUUGUUUGCAACAAAGUUUAUGUAUAUUGGUGUUUAUAUUUGAUCAGGAAAUUUUCGAUGGGUCUCGAAUAUGGAAUGGCAUGACAAACAAAAAUUUAUAAAGUCUAAAGUUGUUACAUUUAAAGUUGAUGGAAAUAAUUCAGGAUUGAUGACUAGCUAUGGACCUCUCACUUUUAUCAAGGUUUAUGAAGCUGGACACAAUGUUCCAUGGGAUCAACCAAAAAUUGCUUUGCACAUGAUAAAAAGUUGGAUGCAAGGAGAAUUCUAAGCAUAGU
Molecule: long non-coding RNA, 1821 nt
Organism: Tripterygium wilfordii
Lineage: Eukaryota; Viridiplantae; Streptophyta; Magnoliopsida; Celastrales; Celastraceae
Exons: 3
Source: RefSeq, a predicted model, not a curated record